This 439-nucleotide ribosomal RNA is filed under the name uncultured bacterium. RNAcentral describes it as "partial 16S ribosomal RNA". It matches the Rfam family "Bacterial small subunit ribosomal RNA", at positions 339 to 795 of the family's 1533-position model. The record is from RNAcentral.
CUACGGGUCGCUGCAGUGAGGAAUAUUGCACAAUGGGGGGAACCCUGAUGCAGCAACGCCGCGUGGAGGAUGACGCAUUUCGGUGUGUAAACUCCUCUUAUAUGUCAAGAAAAUGACGGUAGCAUAUGAAUAAGCACCGGCUAACUCCGUGCCAGCAGCCGCGGUAAUACGGAGGGUGCAAGCGUUACUCGGAAUCACUGGGCGUAAAGGACGCGUGGGCGGGGUGGAAAGUCAGGUGUGAAAUCCUACAGCUUAACGGUAGAACUGCACUUGAAACUUCUAAUCUAGAGUAUGGGAGGGGGAGAUGGAAUUAGUGGUGUAGGGGUAAAAUCCGUAGAUAUCACUAGGAAUACCUAAAGCGAAGGCGAUCUCCUGGAACAUUACUGACGCUAAGGCGUGAAAGCGUGGGGAGCAAACAGGAUUAGAUACCCUCGUAGUC